GUGGGGAAUAUUGGACAAUGGGCGAAAGCCUGAUCCAGCCAUGCCGCGUGUGUGAAGAAGGUCUUCGGAUUGUAAAGCACUUUAAGUUGGGAGGAAGGGCAGUAAGUUAAUACCUUGCUGUUUUGACGUUACCGACAGAAUAAGCACCGGCUAACUUCGUGCCAGCAGCCGCGGUAAUACGAAGGGUGCAAGCGUUAAUCGGAAUUACUGGGCGUAAAGCGCGCGUAGGUGGUUUUGUAAGUUGGAGGUGAAAUCCCCGGACUCAACCUGGGAACUGCCUCCAAAACUGCAUGACUAGAGUACAGUAGAGGGUAGUGGAAUUUCCUGUGUAGCGGUGAAAUGCGUAGAUAUAGGAAGGAACACCAGUGGCGAAGGCGACGACCUGGACUGAUACUGACACUGAGGUGCGAAAGCGUGGGGAGCAAACAGGAUUAGAAACCCGAGUAGUCC
Molecule: ribosomal RNA, 450 nt
Filed under: uncultured bacterium
Lineage: Bacteria
Description: partial 16S ribosomal RNA
Rfam family: Bacterial small subunit ribosomal RNA
Source: RNAcentral